UUUCCGUAGGUGAACCUGCGGAAGGAUCAUUAUCGUACAAAAUGUGAGGGGCAUGCGAGGGCUGUCGCUGACCCAAAAGUCGUUCACGCCCGAGUGUGUCCUCUUGCAUAAUAAUCCAUCUCACCCUCUGUGCAUCACCCCGUGGGCACCCUUCGGCAUCAUCUCGGAGGGGGGCUCGCCUUUUCACACAAACCCCCCUUUUAAAAGUGUAGAAUGACCACAUUUAUGCAAUCAAUACAACUUUCAACAACGGAUCUCUUGGCUCUC
RNAcentral lists this unclassified non-coding RNA (267 nucleotides) under plant metagenome. Its description in RNAcentral is "partial contains small subunit ribosomal RNA, internal transcribed spacer 1, and 5.8S ribosomal RNA". The record is from RNAcentral.